This 1110-nucleotide ribosomal RNA is filed under the name uncultured cyanobacterium. RNAcentral's name for it is "bacterial SSU rRNA". It matches the Rfam family "Bacterial small subunit ribosomal RNA", at positions 389 to 1516 of the family's 1533-position model. The record is from RNAcentral. Lineage: Bacteria; Bacillati; Cyanobacteriota.
GAGCAACGCCGCGUGAGGGAUGAAGGCCUCUGGGCUGUAAACCUCUUUUCUCAAGGAAGAAGACAUGACGGUACUUGAGGAAUAAGCCACGGCUAAUUCCGUGCCAGCAGCCGCGGUAAUACGGGAGUGGCAAGCGUUAUCCGGAAUUAUUGGGCGUAAAGCGUCCGCAGGCGGCCUUGUAAGUCUGUCGUUAAAGCGUGGAGCUCAACUCCAUUUCAGCGAUGGAAACUACAAGGCUUGAGUGUGGUAGGGGCAGAGGGAAUUCCCGGUGUAGCGGUGAAAUGCGUAGAUAUCGGGAAGAACACCAGUGGCGAAGGCGCUCUGCUGGGCCAUAACUGACGCUCAUGGACGAAAGCCAGGGGAGCGAAAGGGAUUAGAUACCCCUGUAGUCCUGGCCGUAAACGAUGAACACUAGGUGUCGGGGGAAUCGACCCCCUCGGUGUCGUAGCCAACGCGUUAAGUGCUCCGCCUGGGGAGUACGCACGCAAGUGUGAAACUCAAAGGAAUUGACGGGGGCGCACAAGCGGUGGAGUAUGUGGUUUAAUUCGAUGCAACGCGAAGAACCUUACCAGGGUUUGACAUCCUGCGAAUCCCUUGGAAACGAGGGAGUGCCUUCGGGAGCGCAGAGACAGGUGGUGCAUGGCUGUCGUCAGCUCGUGUCGUGAGAUGUUGGGUUAAGUCCCGCAACGAGCGCAACCCACGUCUUUAGUUGCCAGCAUUCAGUUGGGCACUCUAGAGAGACCGCCGGUGAUAAACCGGAGGAAGGUGUGGAUGACGUCAAGUCAUCAUGCCCCUUACAUCCUGGGCUACACACGUACUACAAUGCUACGGACAAAGGGCAGCAAGCUCGCGAGAGUAAGCAAAUCCCAUAAACCGUGGCUCAGUUCAGAUCGUAGGCUGCAACUCGCCUACGUGAAGGAGGAAUCGCUAGUAAUCGCAGGUCAGCAUACUGCGGUGAAUACGUUCCCGGGCCUUGUACACACCGCCCGUCACACCAUGGAAGUUGGCCAUGCCCGAAGUCGUUACUCCAACCCUUGUGGAGGAGGACGCCGAAGGUGGGGCUGAUGACUGGGGUGAAGUCGUAACAAGGUAGCCGUACCGGAAGGUGCG